RNAcentral lists this long non-coding RNA (2968 nucleotides) under Homo sapiens (human). Its description in RNAcentral is "novel transcript, antisense to HPGDS". Lineage: Eukaryota; Metazoa; Chordata; Mammalia; Primates; Hominidae. The record is from RNAcentral.
UUUUUUUUCUUUUGUCUCAUUUGUUAAUCAUUAUUUUUGGUAAUAAAUCAUUGGUCUUCCUAAAAGUUUUCUCAAUGGUGCCAAUUUAAAAUGCUCCCGUGUAGAAGCUUUCUAAAAUGGAUUGCUUUUGUAAAACUGUAUAAAUUUAUUAAAAAUUAAGAAACUGUAUACUGACAGUGGAUGAAUUGUAUGUAAAUUAUACCUCAAUAAAGGUGUUAAAAUCGAAAGAAAAUUCUUGAACGAUUUAGAGUUCCUCUGUAAACUAUAUUUUUGUGUGUGUGAUAUUCAAAGGUUGAUUAUUCGUCUUUCUGACCUUGAAUAGUCUUCAGAAUUCUUCACUCAUUUUCAUCCCUACUUUGACUUCCACCUCAAGGCUUCAGCUAAAAAUUUAUGGAGGUGACUCCUUAUUCAAUAUUUUUAGUCCUAAACCACAGGCUCAUUUUUUCAGCCUCCUUUUGGAUAUAUCUCUGAUUACUCUUUUGGCCCCUGAACAUUCUUCCACAAAUCCUCAAAUGCAGUCAUCACACCUUUUCUCAAACCAGCUCUCCUUUUUUUACCCAACAAAUAAUUACGGGCCUCAACUGUGACUCAGCCCCAAGUAGUGGCUGUAUAUAGUAGUAUUGAAUAGAAGAGGUAAAUUCCUUGCAUGCAUGGCACGUAUGGUCAACUGGAGAAGGCAGACAUUGAGGAGGGUAUUGCAAGUUGAAAAAAGUAUUUUGAACAGAAAAGAGAAAGAGACGAAAGAGAAGAGGAGAAGGAGGAAGAAAAGGAGGAAGUAGCAGUAUAUAGCAUAUUGAGAACGGCAAACUCUGUCUAUGCUGUUCCUCUCCUGGUUAAAUAGACUGCCUUCCACAUGGCAACGUCUAUCUACUGUCUCUAAGAUGAUUCUACAUCCACAAAUUUUUCGUAUUUUUCUUGGUCUCUCUUCUUUGCCAUCUGGACCAUUUCAAUGAUCUCUUAAUAUGCUUCCCUGCAGUAGCCACAAAUACAAAGUAACCACAAUAAUCUUCCCAAAAUGCAUAGCGGUAGUUAUGCUGCUUUUCUAGAUAAAAACCUACAAUUGCAUAAGAAAAAAAGUCCAUAUUCUAGAUCCUUCUAGAUCUUUCUAAUCAGAUCCAAUCUAUCCUUCUAAGCAUUUCUCUAAUUCUCUUCCACCUGCAAAUUUGAAGUUCAUUCUUCUUCUCAUGCCAUUUUCUCUCUGCUUAGAAUGUUCUAGCCCAGAGAUUCUCAAAGUGAGAUCCAUGGACCACCUGCAUCAUCUGGGAAAUUGUUGAGAAUGCAAAUUCUUGGGACCCACCCAAGGUCUACUGACUCAAAGUUGCACAAAGUAUAUUUUAGUGAGCAUCCAGGUGACCCUGAUGCACAUAAAGUUUGAAAAGCACUGCCCAGGUCCAAGUCUUCCUCUUGAAAUUCUAGCUAUCUUUGAGCCUAAACCUAAAUGUCAUUUUCACUUUAAAGCCUAAUUUCCCUGGUCAUAAAUAAUUUCCAUUUCUUCUAAACUUUCAAAGUAACUUUAUUUGUUGAAACAUGUUAGUGUAACACAAAACUUUGUAUUUUUAAAAUACACUAUUUCAUUCCAAAAUGAGGUUUAGUAUUCAUGGCCCAUUUUAUUUGUGAGCUAUGUAUGUGUCUAUGGCUUGGAUCAUAGCAGUGGCAAUGGUGGUGGGGAGAUAGGUUUCAGAGAAUGGUGAUUCUACAGAUUGAUUGAAAGAAACGAGCUUUAAAAGAAGCCAAAAGUAGCUUUUGGCUCAAAAAGGGUGUGAGAAUAGUUUGAGGGAAGAGAGAAGACAAUGGAGCAUAGGAUGGGAGAAAGUGUGUCAGGUAAAAACAAGAACAGUUUCUAUUGUUUCUCUUCCAAUACCAUGGGUGUGGGCACUAAUGCAACAAUCCGGAAGCCAAGUAUCCCCUUCAAGUUUCCUCAGAUGGCACUGAGUGGAAGCAAAGAAACUCCCUAUUUUUUUCAGCAUGAUUAGGAUGAAGGACAUUACUGAGUAUAUAAUUUUAAGUCUAAGAAAUUUCAACCUCCAUAUGCCAUAUGUAUUUUCUGCUAAGUAAUUUUCUCUAAUAACUUACCAUAUGCAAACUAGCCAAAGUUUGGAAUGAAACAUCCCUGUCCAAUUUUUCAGCUAAACUCCAAAAAGGGCUUGGAGAGCAAACAGAUGUAAGGCAGGAAAAGCAGGAGGCGAUAUAAAAUAAAAUUGUCUAAUUGUCCAGGGAACUCAUGGAAAGUUAAACUGAUACAGGUGGUAUAUUUAUACUUUUCUCUUAUUUAAUUCCAUUCUUAUUUGUACUAUAGUAUGCUAUGCUAAAGUCAUUUAAUGAAUAUUGAAUAUAUAUCAUGUAUUUGUUUCAGUUAUCAAAAAUCUUAAGCACAAUAAACAUGUUACCUGUGUUUUUGGUCAAAUAUCUUGCUAUUGCUAGGCUCUGGUGAAGAGUAAGUCCAUCAACUUCCAAAAUGGGGAUUUUUCCAAAUGGGAGAGCUUAAAAUGAAAUGAGCAAAUAAUUAACUUCAUAACAAAACCAGAAGUUAUAUUACUUCCAUUUUUACUGAUCAUCGUGAAAACAAAGCAUGAUUUUAUGGAAUCAUGAAAUUCUUAAAUAUUUUUAAAGGAACACUUGACAACUUGUAGUGGAAUAUUUAUAUUUUAUAAGUUUUGUUUAAGUUGUUAGAAAACCUGAUUUAAAAUUAGUGACAGAAUUUGUUCUUAAGCUCAGGUUUAUAGUGACACCAUAUACUGUACUGUAUUUUACAUGCUUACUGUUAAAAAAAAUUAAUUGUAAAACUUCAUUAUUUUUUGCAGCCUCAAUUGCAGAUUAUUAAAAUCGUAGUCUGAGGAUUAUGAAGAGUUUGAUUUACAUAUUGAGUUAUGAUAAAACAUGCAUGCCAGGCAGUUCAAGCCUGCGAAGACUGCUGGUUAUACAGGAUAUCUGGGUAUAAAUAAACCAACACAUUUGUAUACAAGGUAAA